CCAGACUCCUACGGGAGGCAGCAGUGGGGAAUAUUGGGCAAUGGGCGCAAGCCUGACCCAGCAACGCCGCGUGAAGGAAGAAGGCUUUCGGGUUGUAAACUUCUUUUGACAGGGAAGAGCAGAAGACGGUACCUGUCGAAUAAGCCACGGCUAACUACGUGCCAGCAGCCGCGGUAAUACGUAGGUGGCAAGCGUUGUCCGGAUUUAUUGGGCGUAAAGGGCGUGUAGGCGGGAAUGCAAGUCAGAUGUGAAAACUAUGGGCUCAACCCAUAGCCUGCAUUUGAAACUGUAUUUCUUGAGUGCUGGAGAGGCAAUCGGAAUUCCGUGUGUAGCGGUGAAAUGCGUAGAUAUGCGGAGGAACACCAGUGACGAAGGCGGAUUGCUGGACGACAACUGACGGUGAGGCGCGAAAGCGUGGGGAGCAAACAGGAUUAGAUACCCUUGUAUUA
Molecule: ribosomal RNA, 449 nt
Filed under: uncultured bacterium
Lineage: Bacteria
Description: bacterial SSU rRNA
Rfam family: Bacterial small subunit ribosomal RNA
Source: RNAcentral